UACGUAGGGUGCGAGCGUUGUCCGGAAUUACUGGGCGUAAAGAGCUCGUAGGUGGUUUGUCGCGUUGUCCGUGAAAACUCACAGCUCAACUGUGGGCGUGCGGGCGAUACGGGCAGGCUGGAGUACUGCAGGGGAGACUGGAAUUCCUGGUGUAGCGGUGGAAUGCGCAGAUAUCAGGAGGAACACCGGUGGCGAAGGCGGGUCUCUGGGCAGUAACUGACGCUGAGGAGCGAAAGCGUGGGGAGCGAACAGG
This 253-nucleotide ribosomal RNA is filed under the name uncultured bacterium. RNAcentral describes it as "partial 16S ribosomal RNA". It matches the Rfam family "Bacterial small subunit ribosomal RNA", at positions 524 to 776 of the family's 1533-position model. The record is from RNAcentral.